RNAcentral lists this long non-coding RNA (235 nucleotides) under Elaeis guineensis (African oil palm). RNAcentral describes it as "long non-coding RNA (EGUI_LNC073755)". Lineage: Eukaryota; Viridiplantae; Streptophyta; Magnoliopsida; Arecales; Arecaceae. The record is from RNAcentral.
UACAAUAGAGAUCAAGAGAAGAAUCCUUUCUUCUUAAUUUUUUCACACACAAGAGAGAACAUUUCUCUCUUCCUUUCACGCCUUUAAGAAAAAUUUUUCUUCUCUGAUUUUUCAUGAUAAAAAUCAGAUCUAAUCUAAUUUUUUAUGCUGAAAAUCAUAUGAAAUCCUAGGCUCUAGAAGAACCUAAAAGAGAGACCCAAGAGAAGAACUGUUCUUCUCUCUUCUUCUCCCUUUU